AUUGAACGCUGGCGGCAGGCUUAACACAUGCAAGUCGAGCGGUAACAGGGGUAGCUUGCUACCCGCUGACGAGCGGCGGACGGGUGAGUAAUGCCUAAGAAUCUGCCUAGUAGUGGGGGAUAGCCCGGGGAAACCCGGAUUAAUACCGCAUACGCCCUACGGGGGAAAGCGGGGGAUCUUCGGACCUCGCGCUAUUAGAUGAGCUUAGGUCGGAUUAGCUUGUUGGUGAGGUAAUGGCUCACCAAGGCGACGAUCCGUAGCUGGUCUGAGAGGAUGAUCAGCCACACUGGGACUGAGACACGGCCCAGACUCCUACGGGAGGCAGCAGUAGGGAAUAUUGGACAAUGGGCGAAAGCCUGAUCCAGCCAUGCCGCGUGUGUGAAGAAGGCUCUAGGGUUGUAAAGCACUUUAAGCAGGGAAGAUAGUGCGUUGGAUUAAUACUCCUACGUAUGGACGGUACCUGCAGAAUAAGCACCGGCUAACUCCGUGCCAGCAGCCGCGGUAAUACGGAGGGUGCAAGCGUUAAUCGGAUUUACUGGGCGUAAAGCGUGCGUAGGUGGUUUGUUAAGUCAGUUGUGAAAUCCCAGGGCUCAACCUUGGAAUUGCAUCUGAUACUGGCAGACUAGAGAUCGGUAGAGGUUAGUGGAAUUCCAGGUGUAGCGGUGAUAUGCGUAGAUAUCUGGAGGAACAUCGAUGGCGAAGGCAACUGACUGGGCCUGAUCUGACACUGAGGUACGAAAGCGUGGGGAGCA
Molecule: ribosomal RNA, 752 nt
Filed under: uncultured bacterium
Lineage: Bacteria
Description: bacterial SSU rRNA
Rfam family: Bacterial small subunit ribosomal RNA
Source: RNAcentral